Long non-coding RNA from Lemur catta (Ring-tailed lemur), 655 nucleotides. RefSeq lists it as uncharacterized. The transcript is spliced from 2 exons. The record is from RefSeq and is a predicted model, not a curated record. Lineage: Eukaryota; Metazoa; Chordata; Mammalia; Primates; Lemuridae.
CGGCUUGGAAGGCACUUCAGCGGUCUGCGGGGCGACGGGACUCCACUUCCGGGGCGUGGCCCCACCCGGGGAGCUCAGCUGUCUGAGGGUUGUUGGGAGGAGAGUUGAUUCCUCUGGAUGAGGGAAUGCGACUCUGAGUGGGGAGGACCUAGUCGUUCGGAGUAAGACUUCAGUUGGAACUUGCGGUCUCACCGCCUGCUAGGGAGGAAAAGCAGAUUUCAAGAGUGCUUCAGCGCCGCCGCCAGCCCUGGGCUGGGACUACAAGUCCCGGCCUGCGGGAACCCAGGAGCGGGGGCGGGGGAGGGCACUGGUGGGAAGAGAGGCAUGCUGGGAACUGUAGUAGUGUCACCUCCGCGUUCGUAGCAGCCAGCCACCUUGCAUGAGGACACUCAGACAGCCUUAUGGAAAGAUCCACAUGGCGAGGAACUGAGACCUUCUGCCAAUAGCCAGCACCAACCUGCCAGCCAUAUUGAGUGAGCCAUCUUAGAAGUGGAUUCUCUAGCCCCGGCCAAGCCUUCAGAUGACUGCAGCCAUGGCUGAUAUUUUGAAUACAGCCUCAUGAGAGACUCUGAGCCAGCACAACCCAGCUAAGCUGCUCCUGAAUUCCUUACCCACAGAAACUAUGUGAGGUAAUAAAUGUUUGUUGUUGUUUUAA